UCCCUGCUCCGCAUGGAGAAGAAACACUGACCUCUGGGACUGUUCUUCUACACGGCGCUAUCACCAUCGGCGACUAGUCACCGUGAUAUUUCUCAAGAUAGUAUCUUCGGCAUGUUGCGGUUCCAACGGACCCAAGCUUGACCAGAACCGAGGUCUGAGCUGGCCAGAAUCAACCAAACCCCAGCCGCAUGUAUGCUGUCUCUGUGUCGCCCUUCCCCUGUUCGCGUGAAGGAGCAGACCUCUGCCGCCAUUGUUCAUCUGCGUGGCGUUGUUACCACCGGCGACCAUUCACCGAGAAAUUGCUCAGGUCACACCCUACGAUGUUGCGCUUCCAACCGACCCAAGCUCGACCGGAGUGGUGGUCGGUGUCCGCCGGAAUCACGAGAUUCCAGUCCUCCUGUCUGUUGUUCCUGAGUCGGAAGUUGGAACUUUUGUAGGAUUCCAACGUUGGUGUUACAGGAAAUGUGACCGCUUAUAUUGCUGCGCUUUCAUAGGAUUCCAAUGUUCAUAUUGCAUCCUCCAAUCCAUAGAAGGGUGAAGUAUCCCCUUUGUUCUUCCUUUUUUUUUGACCAAUCAUGGCCAGAUAUGUCAGUAGUUAAGGUUUUCCAAUUUUCUAGAUGGUGAGUGACUUGCACGAUUUCAUUAACCAUUUCAUUGAUGUGAAGGAUCUCUGAAUUAGGUUGGGUCCUCUAAUCUGCUGCAUUUCUUUGAUGGGCUUUCUCUCCACAACAACUUUUGCAUUAAUGUUAAAGUAAACUCAGUUGGAUAUUGAAGUGCUUGAUGAUCACAAAUGUGAGCUAGAGGUAUGCUUAGUAUGGUGUCAAAGAGAAAUUCAUAUGUACUACUGAUUCAACUAGAACACAUCUUUAGU
Long non-coding RNA from Nymphaea colorata (pocket water lily), 871 nucleotides. RefSeq lists it as uncharacterized. NCBI's taxonomy places the organism in Eukaryota, Viridiplantae, Streptophyta, Magnoliopsida, Nymphaeales, Nymphaeaceae. The record is from RefSeq and is a predicted model, not a curated record. The transcript is spliced from 4 exons.